CCGGAUAGGUUUUUGGAUCGCAUGAUCCGAAAAGAAAAGGCGGCUUUAAGCUGUCACUGGGAGAUGGGCCUGCGGCGCAUUAGCUAGUUGGUGGGGUAAUGGCCUACCAAGGCGACGAUGCGUAGCCGACCUGAAAGGGUGACCGGCCACACUGGGACUGAAACACGGCCCAAACUCCUACGGGAGGCAGCAGUAGGGAAUUUUCCACAAUGGACGAAAGUCUGAUGGAGCAACGCCGCGUGAACGAUGAAGGUCUUCGGAUUGUAAAGUUCUGUUGUUAGGGACAAACAAGUACCGUUCAAAUAGGGCGGUACCUUGACGGUACCUGACGAAAAAGCCACGGCUAACUACGUGCCAGCAGCCGCGGUAAUACGUAGGUGGCAAGCGUUGUCCGGAUUUAUUGGGCGUAAAGCGCGCGCAGGCGGCUAUGUAAGUCUGGUGUUAAAGCCCGGAGCUCAACUCCGGUU
This 467-nucleotide ribosomal RNA is filed under the name Brevibacillus nitrificans. Its description in RNAcentral is "bacterial SSU rRNA". It matches the Rfam family "Bacterial small subunit ribosomal RNA", at positions 169 to 620 of the family's 1533-position model. The record is from RNAcentral. Lineage: Bacteria; Bacillati; Bacillota; Bacilli; Caryophanales; Paenibacillaceae.